UGGGGAAUAUUGGACAAUGGGCGAAAGCCUGAUCCAGCAAUGCCGCGUGUGUGGAGGAGGUCUUCGGAUUGUAAAGCACUUUCGACGGGGACGAUGAUGACGGUACCCGUAGAAGAAGCCCCGGNUAACUUCGNGCCAG
Molecule: ribosomal RNA, 139 nt
Filed under: uncultured bacterium
Lineage: Bacteria
Description: partial 16S rRNA
Rfam family: Bacterial small subunit ribosomal RNA
Source: RNAcentral